This 497-nucleotide ribosomal RNA is filed under the name uncultured bacterium. RNAcentral's name for it is "partial 16S ribosomal RNA". It matches the Rfam family "Bacterial small subunit ribosomal RNA", at positions 28 to 507 of the family's 1533-position model. The record is from RNAcentral.
GAUGAACGCUGGCGGCGUGCCUAAUACAUGCAAGUCGAGCGAACAGACGAGGAGCUUGCUCCUCUGACGUUAGCGGCGGACGGGUGAGUAACACGUGGAUAACCUACCUAUAAGACUUGGAUAACUUCGGGAAACCGGAGCUAAUACCGGAUAAUAUAUUGAACCGCAUGGUUCAAUAGUUAAAGACGGUUUUGCUGUCACUUAUAGAUGGAUCCGCGCCGCAUUAGCUAGUUGGUAAGGUAACGGCUUACCAAGGCGACGAUGCGUAGCCGACCUGAGAGGGUGAUCGGCCACACUGGAACUGAGACACGGUCCAGACUCCUACGGGAGGCAGCAGUAGGGAAUCUUCCGCAAUGGGCGAAAGCCUGACGGAGCAACGCCGCGUGAGUGAUGAAGGUCUUCGGAUCGUAAAACUCUGUUAUUAGGGAAGAACAAAUGUGUAAGUAACUAUGCACGUCUUGACGGUACCUAAUCAGAAAGCCACGGCUAACUACGUG